Molecule: ribosomal RNA, 457 nt
Filed under: uncultured bacterium
Lineage: Bacteria
Description: bacterial SSU rRNA
Rfam family: Bacterial small subunit ribosomal RNA
Source: RNAcentral
UACGGAAGGCAGCAGUGGGGAAUAUUGCACAAUGGGCGAAAGCCUGAUGCAGCUAUGCCGCGUGUAUGAAGAAGGCCUUAGGGUUGUAAAGUACUUUCAUCGGGGAGGAAAAACAAAACUAAUAAUUUUAUUUCUUGACGUUACCCGAAAAAGAAGCACCGGCUAACUCCGUGCCAGCAGCCGCGGUAAUACGGAGGGUGCUAGCGUUAAUCAGAAUUACUGGGCGUAAAGAGCACGUAGGUGGUUUUUUUAAGUCAGAUGUGAAAUCCCUGGGCUUAACCUAGGAACUGCAUUUUGAAACUGAAAUACUAGAGUAUCGUAGAGGGAGGUAGAAUUCUAGGUGUAGCGGUGAAAUGCGUAGAUAUCUGGAGGAAUACCUGCGGCGAAAGCGGCCUCCUAAACGAAUACUGACACUGAGGUGCGAAAAGCGUGGGGAGCAAAACAGGGAUUAGAUACC